This is a long non-coding RNA of Hemicordylus capensis (graceful crag lizard), 702 nucleotides long. RefSeq lists it as uncharacterized. The record is from RefSeq and is a predicted model, not a curated record. The transcript has 4 exons. Lineage: Eukaryota; Metazoa; Chordata; Lepidosauria; Squamata; Cordylidae.
AAAUACACUCCCUAAAGCAAUCUGGAAGUGCAUUUUUUAACCAUCAUUUUAGUUCUUCCUGGGGGACAGUGCCAGGAGGUGCCCCCUAGGAAUCAGAUUGGUUGGAAUAGCUUAAGUAGCAGCUGUUGCAGCCAGUAAGACCAAAACAAGAAGUUACAGGCAGGGGAGGAGGGGCUGGAAAAAGCUCCCUGCUCUGAAGGUUUCCCUGACUGCUGAAUGAUGCUUCUGUAAUACACAUUAAGUGUGUUCUUUGCCUUCAAAAUAAAAGAAGAAGGAGGAAGUUUAUGAUUGAGGCACUUGGAUGUGCAGUACCUGCCCUCCUGACAUUGGUUUCCAGCAACAAUGUUCACUUUCAUCUUCAAGGACCUGAUUAUCAAUUCUGUGGGAGUCUCAGAGGCACCUUCGAUUGGAAUCUGUCAUGGAUGCCCUUUCUGCUGCUCAACACAGAAAACACUUUCUUCUUAAUUUGGGUUCCUUGCAUGUGUGCCCCCUCCAGUUUCCUCGAUGGAAGAUGUCAAAAGGUCUUGCAUGAAGAUAGUGAUGACAGGUUCUGCAUGCCUACAGGAUGUGUCAAGUUCAUCCAGUUCCCAGUUCUCAGAUGACUGUGUCAACUUGGUGAACCUGGUGUUUUGGAAGCAUCAUUAUAAAUGUAACUUAUGAAUGGCUGUCAUCCUUUGGACAUUACAAAUGUGGAGAAUAAAG